AUUGAACGCUGGCGGCAGGCCUAACACAUGCAAGUCGAACGAGUGGCGGACGGGUGAGUAAUGUCUGGGAAACUGCCUGAUGGAGAGGGAUAACUACUGGAAACGGUAGCUAAUACCGCAUACCAUCAGAUGUGCCCAGAGGGGAUUAGCUAGUCGGUGAGGUAACGGCCCACCUAGGCGACGAUCCCUAGCUGGUCUGAGAGGAUGACCAGCAACACGGGAACUGGGACCGGGUCCAUACUCCUACGGGAGGCAGCAGUGGGGAAUAUUGCACAAUGGUCGCAAGCCUUAUGCAGCCAUGGCGCGUGUAUGAAAGAGGCCUUCGGUUUGUAAAGUACUUUCAGCGGGGAUGCGUUACCCGCAGAAGAAGCACCGGCUAACUCCGUGCCAGCAGCCGCGGUAAUUC
RNAcentral lists this ribosomal RNA (406 nucleotides) under uncultured bacterium. Its description in RNAcentral is "partial 16S ribosomal RNA". It matches the Rfam family "Bacterial small subunit ribosomal RNA", at positions 30 to 526 of the family's 1533-position model. The record is from RNAcentral.